ACUAAAUUAUCCGCUGGGACACAUCCGCCCGACGUUGAUACUUUCCCUUUUGCGUAGGUAGCCGGGGCCGCCCGUACUGAGGUACCUGGAGGCAGCUUUAGCCCGCUUCCGCCCUUACUGAGGCCCCAGUACGCGACCGAGGCAGGCAUGACGUCACUGCAGGUCGCCAUUUUGCAUUACCUAUCAAACUUUUUUUCCCUCCAAAAAAGGCGAUGUGCGGUAAUGCGAGGGAAAAAAAUCCUUGUCUCUUUAGGAUUGUAUUCCAUAAAUAUCCCUUUUCAGCGUCUGGAGGCUCUUUUUUCCUUUUUGCCGGGUAUGAGUCUAGUGACCAGAGCAGGUCCCGGCUGAAUCCAGACUUUCUUCAAGGUAGCUAGUUUCUUAACGAAGUUGGGGAGGCAUAGUUGGUGUUGUGAGAUUUAAACCCUUCGCCUUUCUGUUCACUCACACGCACAUCAGCUCUCCUGGAUUAUUUUUUUUUUAUAAUCUCUAUUUACUAAGAGUUACACAAUAAAGCUAUAAUUCUCCACACCUCUUGUCCAGGUUCAUGUCCUUUUAUACUUGAAUACAUAUACACACACAUAAAAUGACAUACUACUUCCGGCCUUGCCCUCUUAUUUUUGUCUCCCCCCCCCCCCCCCGUUUAUAUAUGAUGUUAACUAACACCACGAUUUGGAAAGGAUUGGAGCACAGAACUCACAACUGGGCCAGUUAGAUGACAGCUGUCGUCCCAGUCAGCUACAGAAUGAGGACUAUUCCUCAUGAGGACUCAUCCUCCAUGAGGAUGGAAAGCAAUCCAGUGCACGACAGACUGCCACCACACUGGGAGACAACUCAAAGCACAUAACCUAAUAGUGGCGUUAGUAAAAUCGCAUUAUGGAGAUUGUCACCCCUCACAAAUUCUUGAUAAUUAUCAAUGCCGCAGGGCAGGGCUUUAAUGAUACAAAUUUUCAACCACCUAAUUUAGACCAAGUAUGUGAAGAAGGGUAAGGUGAAACCUCAGGUUUACUACUGAGCAGGUGGUAAGACACAGCAGUUGGAUCUAGAAGACCACUCUGUCAUGUCCCUGGAUAAGCAAUUUAAUCUCUGUGCCUAUGUCCUUCUCUGUGAAAAUAACAGUACCUACCUCAUAGAGUUCCUGCUACGAAUGAGUGUGAAUGAAUCCUUAAAAAGAGUAGAUUCUGGUUCUAAUACUUGUGGUGAAGAUAGGACGGUCAGGGCAUUUUCAGCAAUUGGUGAGAGCAGGGGAAAAAAGUAAUAUUCAGGAAGCUAACACACACGGACAUAUUUUGUCAUAUGGGAUACAUUCAUUAGUGCCACACCACAGAUUGAGAGAUCUUGGACGUCCACCCAACAGACUAGCCGAGCCCAAAACUUAAGUGGGCAUCAUUUCAUUGACUAUACAAAUCCCACCAGGUAACGAGCACAGUUCCCCAGCCGUACACAGAGGACAGCCACACCGUUGGGUGUUGGGCGCUUUGUCACAACUUUUUCAGUGCUUAAAGGUUUUUAAUUCUCAAAAAGGAAUCUUGGAGGUGAUCUAGUCCAAUCCCUUUACUUAAUGGCUGAAGCUUCUUAGUCAACACCGGUUGGCGGUAAAGCCAAGGCGAAAGUCCAGGUUUCCUGACCACAUUCUGCUCAGCACUACAAUUGUCCUGCUUCGCUACUCAGUUCUGUUUAUGGCUUCCACCACUGCAAGCCUACAUAUAUGGAUAGGAUAAUAGAUACAUGUAUGUACACACAUUGCCAGUUGGAAUUACAACCGAGCCCAGUGAUGCUCAGGCAGGAGUGUAGGCCCUUUCAAGAGGGCAUGCUUCCAUUUCUUUGACAGGGAGCUUCGUGGUUUUAUUAACACAUGACUGAAACCUUGCUGUCACAGACUUAGGCAUCACAGUCCCCUUGACAGGAUCUGUAUGUAGAAACUCUCAUAAACCAAGAUUUCACUUGAAUUAUCAAAGCUGUGCCCUUUUACACUAGGGGACACACACACAGAGCCUCAUCACACAGCAUUCACUCUUCACAGACACACACUCUAGUGUAAAUCCUUAGUACUGUCCUUGAACAUCUCCCCAGAUAGCUUCUUCCCAUGCUCGCUCACAUCAGUAGCUCCACUGCCUCUGAUCCUUUUACACGAAUUUAUUUCUAUACAAGGUUCUAAAAACACCCCUUGGUUUGUACAUAAGUUUUUUUUUUUCUUCAUUUUAAAUUGCUUUAUAACAACUGAUUUCCUGAUUUUUUUUCAUUUUGUCUUUUCUCUGAAAUCUGCCAUGAUUUAAAAACAAACAAAAAGGGCAAAAGGAAAUAAAAAUGCCGUUGGCCAGAAGACAGGGUGGAGAAAAACAAAAAAGACAAAAAUAAACAUCAAAUAUGAAAAUUCUGAGAGAUAAUGCAUUUAUAAACACAGAAAUGGUUACAACAAAGAUGGCCGUGAUGAGUGGGUAUAUAUAUAUAUUUAUAUAUAUAUUUAUAUAUAAAUCCGUGUCCGGCAAUUGACCGUGGCACCUAGGGAGCUAAGUCCAGUCCUUGUGUUUGCCCUGAACUCUCCCUUCUCUGCAACACCCUUUGUUUUGGGCUUUCAUAAAGAACACAAAGCUCCCACAGCUCCUCUGGCUUUGGGACUGGGAGACCGAGUAUAGGGCCUUGGCUGGCAGAGAAGGGGAGAGGCCCCAAGGAAAACCAUAACCCACACUUCUAAGCCACCCUUGACCAUUUUGGGGAUCUCUGGCCCCUUGGGGACCACAUCUCAGCCCUUGCCCCUUUACAAAUAAAGGGGGUCUGACCCCCACUGAGAUCUCCCUCUUCCAGCAUUAGGUAGGAAGUGAAGUGAGACCAUGAGGGGAAGACAGCUCCCGCUCAUCGGGGCGUGUGAGAAACCUCCGUUCUUUUGCAGGCAAGAAUAGAACAGGAGGCUGGCUGCAUUUAGGGCUCCCUUCUCUCAGAGAUCUGGGAGGACCAGCCUCUAGUCUUCCACCAGCCCCAACUUUUGAGGAUUAUGAGGGUAACGAGAGGGUAAGUGCCCACACUGGAAACGUUUCUAUGAGGUCAUAGCAAAUCCCUCCCUUGAGCACCAACCCCCAAUUUUGAAAAGCUAUGCUUAGAAGGGGAGGCUGCUGGAUUACACUACCAGCUCCUUAUUCCUUUGCCAAUCAGGAGGGCUGAUAUUCCUUUUGAAGAGGAGUUGAGAAUAAGCAUGGUAUCCUGUGUAGGAAGGCCGUGCCUGAGGCCCAAGGAGAUGGAGGCAAGGCCUGUCAAGGAAGAAGACUUUUCCCACCAAGAGAAGUUGGAGAAAGAAGGGACCAGAACUUCUUUCCCCUCUUCCCAGUGGGUGGCAGCACAGGUCUCUACGAGCUGGCCAGGUGCUCCACCUGGAUGGUGCUGGUGGUGACAGUGAGGCAGAUGUCCUUAUGAUGCUCCGCCGUCUUAUAGGGGGUCAGGUCAAAGGAACACUGGGGUGGAGGGUUGGGGUUGCUGUCCCCACCACCCCCACCCUGGGGGGCUGCCCCAGGGGACUGGAAGUGUGGUGGCUGUGGCUGCUGUUGCUGCUGCUGCUGCUGCGAUGC
RNAcentral lists this long non-coding RNA (3557 nucleotides) under Lynx pardinus (Iberian lynx). The record is from RNAcentral. Lineage: Eukaryota; Metazoa; Chordata; Mammalia; Carnivora; Felidae.